RNAcentral lists this ribosomal RNA (529 nucleotides) under Scedosporium boydii. RNAcentral describes it as "eukaryotic LSU rRNA". The stretch from base 172 to 325 matches the Rfam family "5.8S ribosomal RNA". The record is from RNAcentral. Lineage: Eukaryota; Fungi; Ascomycota; Sordariomycetes; Microascales; Microascaceae.
UACAGAGUUACUACUCCAAACCCAUUGUGAACCUUACCUAUGUUCUGUUGCCUCGGCGGCGUGGUCAGCGCCCCCUCUGAAAAGAGGACGAUGCCCUCCCGCCGGCAGCACCAAACUCUUUGAAUUUUACAGCGGAUUACAGUUCUGAUUUGAAAACAAAAAACAAGUUAAAACUUUCAACAACGGAUCUCUUGGUUCUGGCAUCGAUGAAGAACGCAGCGAAAUGCGAUAAGUAAUGUGAAUUGCAGAAUUCAGUGAAUCAUCGAAUCUUUGAACGCACAUUGCGCCCGGCAGUAAUCUGCCGGGCAUGCCUGUCCGAGCGUCAUUUCAACCCUCGAACCUCCGUUUCCUCAGGGAAGCUCAGGGUCGGUGUUGGGGCGCUACGGCGAGUCUUCGCGACCCUCCGUAGGCCCUGAAAUACAGUGGCGGUCCCGCCGCGGUUGCCUUCUGCGUAGUAAGUCUCUUUUGCAAGCUCGCAUUGGGUCCCGGCGGAGGCCUGCCGUCAAACCACCUAUAACUCCAGAUGGUU